RNAcentral lists this ribosomal RNA (34 nucleotides) under Gongronella butleri. Its description in RNAcentral is "partial 18S ribosomal RNA". Lineage: Eukaryota; Fungi; Mucoromycota; Mucoromycetes; Mucorales; Cunninghamellaceae. The record is from RNAcentral.
AGAUGCGAGGAGUACCUGCGGAUGGACAUUACCG